Triticum urartu is the source of this 93-nucleotide non-coding RNA. The record is from Rfam. NCBI's taxonomy places the organism in Eukaryota, Viridiplantae, Streptophyta, Magnoliopsida, Poales, Poaceae.
CAAGCUCGGGUGAUGAUUACAAGUGCAUAGUUCAGAUGACCAUACUGUGAUGACUUGAACAAAAUAGUCUUUUGCUCCUAGCUGAUGACCUUU